This is a long non-coding RNA of Mustela putorius furo (domestic ferret), 4170 nucleotides long. The record is from Ensembl. Lineage: Eukaryota; Metazoa; Chordata; Mammalia; Carnivora; Mustelidae.
CUGAGCUCUUGCUUCCAUUUUCUUUUUCUUUUUAUUAUUUACAGAAUCAAAUUUAUAUAUAUAUAUAUAUAUAUUUUUUUUUUUUUUUUUUUUAAGAACACUUAAUAUGAGAUGUACUCUCUUAACAGACGUUCAAGGGCAGGGCACAGCGCCGGUGGCCGUAGGCAAUACGUGUCCAGCAGGAAGGAGAGAACGCAGUGGCUGGAGGCGGCAGCAGAGGGCGCUGUAAUGAAGGCUGUGUGAACCCAGAACAGCUCUAAAAAAUUGGUUAAAACAAAACCAAAAACAAACCGGAAAGGAGGAACGCUAGAUUUUGGACACAACUGAGAGUCUGUAGGAACUGCUAGCUCUGUAAGAAGCAAGUGCUUCCUGGCUGUUGGACUGGCCCCCACCUCCUGUCUGCCUCCGAGCCUGGACCAGCAAGGAGUCCUGGUGGAAGGUGGCACCAGGCACCAGGCAGGCGGAGGGGCCCAUUCCAUACUCGCGGAGACGGGCGCGCUCACAGCAUCACCGGCCUUCUGGCUUGGGUGUUCUGUCGGAGAGAUCCAGUGUGUGUGAGGGUCACAGAGGUCUUCUGGGCGCUCUGCAAAGCCUUCGGGGCAGUGGCAUGGACCGUGGGUGCAGACAGUGGCCAGGGCAGGCAUUCUGACAGCUUCAUGCCUCGGAGUUCUUCAUGAGCAAGACACACCAGCUGCACACUCCGCAGGCCACAGUACCCUGUGAACAUCACUUUCAUGUGCACUGGGAACCCAAAGUGCUUCUUCGACUCACUUCACUGCAAUAUUCGCUUUAUUGCUGUGAUCUGGAACCAAACCCACAGUAUCUCCAAGGUAUGCCUGUAAUUUUUCCUAAUUUUGUACACACUGAAAAAAAGCUUAGCGUAAUUAUCAGCACUUGUGUGAUCUCCUUGCCGUCAGGAGCCCUGCGCACUGGUUCCUACCGGCGGAUGCUUGCUCGCUGCCUAGCUCCUCACCACGGCCCCGGGAGGAGCGUGAGGCCCGGCUCCAGAGGAACCGUGGCUGCGUGCUCGUCAUUCUGUUGUCACAGCUCUACACACAGACUUGUUUGUGUUUUAUUUUCUUCCUUGGAAAGAUAGUUUGUGAGAAGAGAAUCAGGGUCUUCCUUGAUAAGACCCACAGCAAGGUGACCCAGAGCUAUGCCUAUCCCCAUGGGUCACCACGUUGCGAUUUUUAAAGUGAUCAAGUUACCUAAAGAGACAAACAAAACCUGACCCCAUGUAUACAGCAAGACACUCACAAACAUCACCCAGGCAAUUCCUUUGCUUCUAUGUUGAGGGGAGGGGUGACCACAGUGCAUUCUCCUCCUGGAGGUUCUCCCCUGGCAUGGUUUUAUACUACCCCUGAGGCAAUGCUAGCCCAGUCUGCCCGCAGUCUCCUUCUGUGUCGCGUUUCUUUGCAUAACGGAGCUUUCUCUAUUUUCCCUUGAGGAAGCGUAAGGAAGAGGGGAGAACAGGAGCAGAGGGAAGAAAUCACACGAUGUCGCCUCUUUCUCACGCUGGGCAGGAGAGCGGGUCCUUCCCAGGACAGGGCUUGUUUUGAGUUGUGCGUGUGCGAGCCUCCUCCGCGGGCUAGAAUGCGACCAUGGCACUUCUGGAAAAGGGAGUAACCCCCUGACCGUAUCAUAUAGAAAAUAAUUUUAAGAACUUGCAGGGAAGGUUCUACGUCACCUCCAAUGGCAAGAGUGAGAAAUGCAAGGACAGAAACGGGCAUCGGGCACAUAGCGAGGCUAAAGGGACCCUGGAAGCCAUCAUUUCUGAAAAGCGAUGGUCAGAGAAAGAAACAGAAGCCAGGCCUGGCUUGGAGAAGUGUCUGCCCUCAGAGCACUCCCCUAAAUAAGGGGAAAGCAGUGGGAACAAAUCCUGAGCGCCCUCUUAAGUGCCGCCCCCAUCAUGUGCUGUGGAGAACGGGGGCGAGGGGGGGAAGAAUGAAAGAUGGGGGGGGAGAAGCCCCUCAUUCCGGCUGCAGGGGGAGGGCAGGAAGGGGAACGUGGCGCCUCCGGGCUCAAUGUGUGUGUUUCUUCAAGCUGGAAAGAAAGUAGAGAAAAGGCAAAAAGCCCGUGAUUUCUCAUGAAUAAAUAGACACUUAAUGGAAAGGAGGAGGAAAAAACCCCCAAAUUCUCCGCUCCCGGAAGAAGGCGAGAGGGGGGAAGAGACGCGCCCUGGGAGGGAUGAGGGUCAGCCCCAGCCCUGGAGGGAGUGAGCCCCAGGAGCCAGGGCAGGUGGAAGUGAGGGCUCCCCACGCAGGUGGAGGGCGCCAGCCCUCCCAAGCCCGGCAUUCAGUUUCAGCCCAGCCAGCUGCCCCAGGUUCCCAGGCCACAGCCCAGGAAGGCAAGACACAGAGGUGGCCAUGCUCCCUGGUGGGAGAACACUGGGCCCCAUUUCAGAGAUUAGGGCUGCCGCAGGAAAGCAAGACUUCAAGAUGGCAAAGUUGGGGCUUCUCAGACCUUUCUUUUUCUCUUAACCUUUAGAAAAAUAGUGGGGAAAUUAGGAACAGAAAGUGCAAAUCCCAUAAGACAUAUAACAUAGAACUCUAACGCCAAACCUCGACAGAGGCAGGGGGAGCUCAGACACCAUGAGAACACCCCCAGGCAGACCCCACACGUAGCUGGGAGAGCAGGAAAACGGGUCAGAACAAGCAGGCGCUCCCCACAGUUAUGUCACCAGCAAGGCUUGUUAAGUUUCAGAGUAUUUGAUGAGAAAACCUUGGAGGAAACAGACUGAUGCAAGUUCUUUGAAAAUGCAAGUGCUGUGAUGGCUACUGUGUGUGAGAGCAGACAUGAAGAAAAACGGUUGCCAUGGGAGCACAACCAGCAGAGAACAAGCCGCGGGGCCUGGGCUCACACGCAGAUCAAUGACAGUCUUCUCUUCAGUGUCUGCAGGAAGAUCUCUCAGGUCAGUGCCUUUCAACCUGUUUUUUCUGGACCACCAGUAAGAAACACAUUUCUAUCACACGUACACAGGCAGAUAUGUUUGUAUUCCUGGACAGACCUUCACUUAAAAAUACAUCCUCUUACUACACAUGGUGCAUUCUUUUUUUUUUUUUUUAAGAUUUUAUUUAUUUAUUUGACAGAGAGAGAUCACAAGUAGGCAGAGAGGCAGGCAGAGAGAGAGAGAGGAGGAAGCAGACUCCCCGCUGAGCAGAAAGCCCAAUGUGGGGCUCAAUCCCAGAACCCCGAGACCACGCCCCGAGCCGAAAGCAGAGGCCUUAACCCACUGAGCCACCCAGGCGCCCCACACAUGAUGCAUUCUAAUGUCUUCCAUAGAGUUCUGUUCUACUUAUUUUUGAAAUGCAGUCAUGGUGGUAAGACGAUCCCCAAUAAUCUCCACCCCUGGCAUCCACACCUUUGUAUAAUCCCCUCCCCUGACAGAGGGCAGGACCUGCAAUUCAACAUCACUGACUACUAGAAACAAACCGAAAGCACAGUGAGAUGCCACCUUACGCCCAUUAAGAGGGCUACCAUUAACAAACCACAAAGUACCCAGUACUGGUGAGGUAUGGAGACAUCAAGACCCUGUGCACUGUGAAUGGGAACAGAAAGAGUGCAGCUGCUGUGGAAGCCAGUAUGGUGGUUCCCCAAAACAGUAAACACGGCAUCUCUCUAUGAUCCAACAAUUCCAUUUUUGGAUAUAUACCCCACAAAUUAGAAACAGAUACUUGAAGGGGUAUUGUAUACCCAAGUGUUUAGCAGCAAAAAGGUGGAAGCAGCCGCAGGAUCCGCGAGUGGAGGAAUGGAUAAACACAAUGACUGACACACACAGGGCACUCUCACUCGGCCAUGAAAAGGGAUGGAAUUCUGACACAUACUACACAAUGGAUGAAACUUAGGAACAUUCUGCUAAGUGAAAUAAGACCAGUCACAAAAAGUUAAAUACUAAAUGACUUCACCUAGAUGACGUACUCAGAACAGUCAGAAGUAGAAGGUCAAGUACUCUUCAUAGAGCCAGAAAGUAGAAGAAUGAAUACUGGGAGCUUGGGGAAGGGUACAGAGUUACCGUUUAGUGGGGACAGAGUUUCAGCUUUGUAAGAUGAAGAGUUCUGAAGACGGGUGACACGACACUGAAUGUACUUACCACCACCGCAAUGCCUGAGAAAUGGUGGAGGUGGUUCAUUUUUGGGUUUUCUGUUCUGUUGAUCUGUAGGUCUAUUUUUG